GCAAGUCGAGCGGUAACAUUUCUAGCUUGCUAGAAGAUGACGAGCGGCGGACGGGUGAGUAACGCGUAGGAAUCUACCCAGUAGUGGGGGACAACAGUUGGAAACGACUGCUAAUACCGCAUACACCCUACGGGGAAAAGGGGGCUUCGGCUCUCGCUAUUGGAUAGCCUGCGUGAGAUUAGCUAGUUGGUAAGGUAAUGGCUUACCAAGGCGACGAUCUCUAGCUGGUUUGAGAGGAUGAUC
This 243-nucleotide ribosomal RNA is filed under the name uncultured bacterium. RNAcentral describes it as "partial 16S ribosomal RNA". It matches the Rfam family "Bacterial small subunit ribosomal RNA", at positions 57 to 305 of the family's 1533-position model. The record is from RNAcentral.